UCCGCCUGAUGUUGGCCAUUUAGGUAGAUAUGGCCGAGGUGGAGCCGCUGCUGGAGCUUCGCCUGAACACUUACAAAGAAGUUCUCAUUGGGGGCAUUCUCCGAUGAAGUCCCUCCGACGCUCAAAUCAAGAGAUGAAGAACAAUGAGAUGAGAGAACGAAGAGUCGAUUACAUACCUUGAGGAUCCCGGAGUUUUUAUUUAUAGGAAAAGAAUUGGAGUCGUAUCCAUCUUGAAAUCCUGAUAAUUUUUGAAUUUAUCAUACAGAUUAAUUCAGAUAAGAUAUUUUUCUUUUAUAGGAGACUCGAUUGCGGAGGAAUUAUAUUCUAUCUGGACUU
RNAcentral lists this long non-coding RNA (336 nucleotides) under Elaeis guineensis (African oil palm). Its description in RNAcentral is "long non-coding RNA (EGUI_LNC016642)". Lineage: Eukaryota; Viridiplantae; Streptophyta; Magnoliopsida; Arecales; Arecaceae. The record is from RNAcentral.